GCGGGCGUAGCUCAGCUGGUUAGAGCACUGCCUUGUCACGGCAGGGGUCGCCGGUUCGAAUCCGGUCGCUCGCG
This 74-nucleotide transfer RNA is filed under the name Candidatus Harrisonbacteria bacterium CG10_big_fil_rev_8_21_14_0_10_45_28. Its description in RNAcentral is "tRNA-Asp". It matches the Rfam family "tRNA". Rfam says of the family: Transfer RNA (tRNA) molecules are approximately 80 nucleotides in length. Their secondary structure includes four short double-helical elements and three loops (D, anti-codon, and T loops). Lineage: Bacteria; Candidatus Harrisoniibacteriota. The record is from RNAcentral.